RNAcentral lists this ribosomal RNA (474 nucleotides) under uncultured bacterium. Its description in RNAcentral is "partial 16S ribosomal RNA". It matches the Rfam family "Bacterial small subunit ribosomal RNA", at positions 355 to 813 of the family's 1533-position model. The record is from RNAcentral.
UGGGGAAUUUUGGACAAUGGGCGAAAGCCUGAUCCAGCAAUGCCGCGUGUGUGAAGAAGGCCUUCGGGUUGUAAAGCACUUUUGUCCGGAAAGAAAUCCUUGGCUCUAAUACAGUCGGGGGAUGACGGUACCGGAAGAAUAAGCACCGGCUAACUACGUGCCAGCAGCCGCGGUAAUACGUAGGGUGCAAGCGUUAAUCGGAAUUACUGGGCGUAAAGCGUGCGCAGGCGGUUUGCUAAGACCGAUGUGAAAAUCCCCGGGCUCAACCUGGGAACUGCAUUGGUGACUGGCAGGCUAGAGUAUGGCAGAGGGGGGUAGAAUUCCACGUGUAGCAGUGAAAAUGCGUAGAGAUGUGGAGGAAUACCGAUGGCGAAAGGCAGCCCCCUGGGCCAAGUACUGACGCUCAUGCACGAAAAGCGUGGGGGAGCAAAACAGGAUUAGAUACCCUGGUAGUCCACGCCCUAAAACGAUGUG